Molecule: ribosomal RNA, 305 nt
Filed under: uncultured bacterium
Lineage: Bacteria
Description: partial 16S ribosomal RNA
Rfam family: Bacterial small subunit ribosomal RNA
Source: RNAcentral
ACCUACGGGGGGCAGCAGUGGGGAAUAUUGGACAAUGGGGGGAACCCUGAUCCAGCCAAGUCGCGUGAGGGAAUAAGGCCCUACGGGUCGUAAACCUCUUUUGCCGGGGAGCAAGGGCCGGGACGAGUCCCGGUCCGGAGAGUACCCGGAGAAAAAGCAUCGGCUAACUCCGUGCCAGCAGCCGCGGUAAUACGGAGGAUGCGAGCGUUAUCCGGAUUUAUUGGGUUUAAAGGGUGCGUAGGCGGGCUUUUAAGUCAGCGGUAAAAAUUCGGGGCUCAACCCCGUCCGGCCGUUGAAACUGGGGG